CUCCUACGGGAGGCAGCAGUAGGGAAUCUUCGGCAAUGGGGGCAACCCUGACCGAGCAACGCCGCGUGAGUGAAGAAGGUUUUCGGAUCGUAAAGCUCUGUUGUAAGAGAAGAACGGGUGUGAGAGUGGAAAGUUCACACUGUGACGGUAUCUUACCAGAAAGGGACGGCUAACUACGUGCCAGCAGCCGCGGUAAUACGUAGGUCCCGAGCGUUGUCCGGAUUUAUUGGGCGUAAAGCGAGCGCAGGCGGUUUGAUAAGUCUGAAGUUAAAGGCUGUGGCCCAACCAUGGUUCGCUUUGGAAACUGUCAAACUUGAGUGCAGAAGGGGAGAGUGGAAUUCCAUGUGUAGCGGUGAAAUGCGUAGAUAUAUGGAGGAACACCGGUGGCGAAAGCGGCUCUCUGGUCUGUAACUGACGCUGAGGCUCGAAAGCGUGGGGAGCGAACAGGAUUAGAUACCCUGGUAGUCCACGCCGUAAACGAUGAGUGCUAGGUGUUGGGUCCUUUCCGGGAUUCAGUGCCGCAGCUAACGCAUUAAGCACUCCGCCUGGGGAGUACGACCGCAAGGUUGAAACUCAAAGGAAUUGACGGGGGCCCGCACAAGCGGUGGAGCAUGUGGUUUAAUUCGAAGCAACGCGAAGAACCUUACCAGGUCUUGACAUCCCGAUGCUAUUCCUAGAGAUAGGAAGUUUCUUCGGAACAUCGGUGACAGGUGGUGCAUGGUUGUCGUCAGCUCGUGUCGUGAGAUGUUGGGUUAAGUCCCGCAACGAGCGCAACCCCUAUUGUUAGUUGCCAUCAUUCAGUUGGGCACUCUAGCGAGACUGCCGGUAAUAAACCGGAGGAAGGUGGGGAUGACGUCAAAUCAUCAUGCCCCUUAUGACCUGGGCUACACACGUGCUACAAUGGUUGGUACAACGAGUUGCGAGUCGGUGACGGCAAGCUAAUCUCUUAAAGCCAAUCUCAGUUCGGAUUGUAGGCUGCAACUCGCCUACAUGAAGUCGGAAUCGCUAGUAAUCGCGGAUCAGCACGCCGCGGUGAAUACGUUCCCGGGUCUUGUACACACGC
This 1063-nucleotide ribosomal RNA is filed under the name uncultured bacterium. Its description in RNAcentral is "bacterial SSU rRNA". It matches the Rfam family "Bacterial small subunit ribosomal RNA", at positions 336 to 1393 of the family's 1533-position model. The record is from RNAcentral.